CUCCGUCCCGAGGCCUUUCGGCUAAGAUCAAGUGUAGUAUCUGUUCUUAUCAGUUUAAUGUCUGGUAUGUGGGCCAUGUGCCUACUUCGAUAUUAAAUUUAUUUUUUGUAGUGUAGGGUCCACUACAGUGGCUUGCUACUGGGGCCCUCAACCGUCGCAUAGGCAUUGCGCUGCUGCCUGGGCCUGGCGCACCCCAA
Molecule: small nuclear RNA, 197 nt
Filed under: Dichanthelium oligosanthes
Lineage: Eukaryota; Viridiplantae; Streptophyta; Magnoliopsida; Poales; Poaceae
Description: U2 spliceosomal RNA
Rfam family: U2 spliceosomal RNA
About the family: U2 is a small nuclear RNA (snRNA) component of the spliceosome (involved in pre-mRNA splicing). Complementary binding between U2 snRNA (in an area lying towards the 5' end but 3' to hairpin I) and the branchpoint sequence (BPS) of the intron results the bulging out of an unpaired adenosine, on the BPS, which initiates a nucleophilic attack at the intronic 5' splice site, thus starting the first of two transesterification reactions that mediate splicing.
Source: Rfam by way of RNAcentral